Molecule: ribosomal RNA, 407 nt
Filed under: bacterium enrichment culture clone ALO1_GLFRUDD03F72CY
Lineage: Bacteria
Description: bacterial SSU rRNA
Rfam family: Bacterial small subunit ribosomal RNA
Source: RNAcentral
GAGUUUGAUCUUGGCUCAGAUUGAACGCUGGCGACAUGCCUUACACAUGCAAGUCGAACGGCAGCACGGGAGCUUGCUCCUGGUGGCGAGUGGCGAACGGGUGAGUAAUGCAUCGGAACGUAUCCUGGAGUGGGGGAUAACGUAGCGAAAGUUACGCUAAUACCGCAUAUUCUGUGAGCAGGAAAGCGGGGGACCUUCGGGCCUCGCGCUCUUGGAGCGGCCGAUGUCGGAUUAGCUAGUUGGUGAGGUAAAGGCUCACCAAGGCGACGAUCCAUAGCAGGUCUGAGAGGAUGGUCUGCCACACUGGAACUGAGACACGGUCCAGACUCCUACGGGAGGCAGCAGUGGGGAAUUUUGGACAAUGGGGGCAACCCUGAUCCAGCCAUGCCGCGUGAGUGAAGAAGGCC